AGCAGUAAGGAAUAUUGGUCAAUGGACGAAAGUCUGAACCAGCCAUGCCGCGUGAAGGAUGAAGGCCCUCUGGGUUGUAAACUUCUUUUAUAGGGGACGAAAAAAGGGCAUUCUUGCUCACUUGACGGUACCCUAGGAAUAAGCACCGGCUAACUCCGUGCCAGCAGCCGCGGUAAUACGGAGGGUGCAAGCGUUAUCCGGAUUCACUGGGUUUAAAGGGUGCGUAGGUGGGUCUGUAAGUCAGUGGUGAAAUCUCCGAGCUUAACUCGGAAACUGCCAUUGAUACUAUAGGUCUUGAAUAUCCUGGAGGUGAGCGGAAUAUGUCAUGUAGCGGUGAAAUGCUUAGAUAUGACAUAGAACACCAAUUGCGAAGGCAGCUCGCUACGGGAUUAUUGACACUGAGGCACGAAAGCGUGGGGAUCAAACAGGAUUAGAUACCCUGGUAGUCCACGCCCUAAACGAUGAAUGCUCGACAUCAGCGAUACACUGUUGGUGUCU
Molecule: ribosomal RNA, 498 nt
Filed under: uncultured bacterium
Lineage: Bacteria
Description: bacterial SSU rRNA
Rfam family: Bacterial small subunit ribosomal RNA
Source: RNAcentral